This 91-nucleotide microRNA precursor is filed under the name Canis lupus dingo (dingo). RNAcentral's name for it is "mir-8799 microRNA precursor family". It matches the Rfam family "mir-8799 microRNA precursor family". Lineage: Eukaryota; Metazoa; Chordata; Mammalia; Carnivora; Canidae. The record is from Rfam by way of RNAcentral.
GGGGUAACGCUGUAUCUUGGGCUGUGUCCCCGACACCCAGUGCUCCUGGGCCUGCGCUGUUGGAAUCGUGCUCCCGGCCGUGCAGCUCCCU